Molecule: ribosomal RNA, 456 nt
Filed under: uncultured bacterium
Lineage: Bacteria
Description: SSU rRNA
Rfam family: Bacterial small subunit ribosomal RNA
Source: RNAcentral
AGAACGAACGCUGGCGGCAGGCCUAACACAUGCAAGUCGAACGCCCCGCAAGGGGAGUGGCAGACGGGUGAGUAACACGUGGGAACAUACCCUUCGGUUCGGAAUAACUCAGGGAAACUUGAGCUAAUACCGGAUACGUCCAGAGUUUAAUCGGCUUUGGAGAAAGAUUUAUCGCCGAAGGAUUGGCCCGCGUCCGAUUAGCUAGUUGGUGAGGUAAUGGCUCACCAAGGCGACGAUCGGUAGCUGGUCUGAGAGGAUGAUCAGCCACAUUGGGACUGAGACACGGCCCAAACUCCUACGGGAGGCAGCAGUGGGGAAUAUUGGACAAUGGGCGCAAGCCUGAUCCAGCCAUGCCGCGUGAGUGAUGACGGCCUUAGGGUUGUAAAGCUCUUUCGUCAGGGACGAUAAUGACGGUACCUGAAGAAGAAGCCCGGCUAACUUCGCGCCAGCAGCCGC